GGAACAAUAUCUCAAGGAGAAACAGAUCAUUAUUGAUGACAAUCAAAAUCUCAUUUCUGAAAAAGACAAAGUUAUAGCCAAACUGACAUCGAAUGAGAAACAGAUCAUUAUUGACCUUAAAGAAAAGGAGUUGUACAUAGCCAA
This is a long non-coding RNA of Amphimedon queenslandica, 144 nucleotides long. RefSeq lists it as uncharacterized. The record is from RefSeq and is a predicted model, not a curated record. NCBI's taxonomy places the organism in Eukaryota, Metazoa, Porifera, Demospongiae, Haplosclerida, Niphatidae. The transcript has 3 exons.